GACGAACGCUGGCGGCGUGCUUAACACAUGCAAGUCGAACGGAAAGGCCCUGCUUUUGUGGGGUGCUCGAGUGGCGAACGGGUGUGUAACACGUGAGUAACCUGCCCUUGACUUUGGGAUAACUUCAGGAAACUUGGGCUAAUACCUGAUAGGAGCUCCUGCUGCUUGGUUGGGUUUGGAAAGUUUCGGCGGUUGGGGAUGGACUCGCGGCUUAUCAGCUUGUUUGUGGGGUAGUGGCUUACCAAGGCUUUGACGGGUAGCCGGCCUGAGAGGGUGACCGGGAACAUUGGGACUGAGAUACGGAACAGACUACUACGGGAGGCAGCAGUGGGGAAUAUUGCACAAUGGGCGGAAGCCUGAUGCAGAAACGCAGCGGGCGGGAUGACGGCAUUCGGGUUGUAAACCGAUUUAGACUGUGACGAAGCGUGAGUGACGGUAAUGGGUAAAGAAGCACCGGCUAACUACGUG
Molecule: ribosomal RNA, 468 nt
Filed under: uncultured bacterium
Lineage: Bacteria
Description: partial 16S ribosomal RNA
Rfam family: Bacterial small subunit ribosomal RNA
Source: RNAcentral